GCAAAGCAUAAAUUCUCAUGAAAACGAAGUCGCUGCACUUCAAGCGUCAGACAGAGGACCAGGUCAAGUCUACGGAGCUGCACUUCAUUUUUUUUAAGAACUCUGCACUUUCUUGUUUACUCUUACUGCAAGUGGAGUGGAUCAUGAUCUGGCUCGUUGUUCCUUUUUCCUAUGCAUAUACUUCUUUGAGAAUUGCUUCUAAAGAGGUAUAGGGCAUGGGAAAAUGGGGCAACUGAGGUACUUCACCACUCAUCCCAAGCGGCAUCGCGAAGGCAACAGCAGAAAUGUUUAGAGAAAACAGAUGGGUGAAGAAAUGAAAGAUGUCUUGGAGGUAGAAGCAGAAGCUCUCUUUGCUCAUUUCAUUUCGUAGAAAAACAGUCAUUUAACACAAUUUUUAUGUUUCUGUCCAAUUACUUCCAGUUACUCUAAAUAGCAAUGAGUCACAACAAUUCUGGGGGGAAAAUACGGCUGUUAUGAAACAAUGUAACUGUACAUAAUGCAUGUCAAAUAAAUAUCUAAUGGUUCAGCCACAGA
Molecule: long non-coding RNA, 534 nt
Organism: Hirundo rustica (Barn swallow)
Lineage: Eukaryota; Metazoa; Chordata; Aves; Passeriformes; Hirundinidae
Exons: 4
Source: RefSeq, a predicted model, not a curated record